UCAUUAAAUCAGUUACUAUCCAUUGGAUGAUAACUUUUCUACAUGGAUAACUGUGGUAAUUCUAGAGCUAAUACGUGCAACAUGUCUCGUUAAAUUGGUCGCAAGAUCUUUUUAACUUGACGCACUUUAUUAGACCAAGACCAAUGGGUUCGUUAGCAAUAACUAACCCCUUGACUCAUGGUGACUCUGGAUAACCUCGCAAAUCGCAUGGCCUCUGUGCCGGCGAUAUGUCCUAUGAGUAACUGCCUUAUCAACUUGAUGGUAGGUUCAAUGCCUACCAUGGUUGUUACGGGUAACGGGGAAUCAGGGUUCGAUUCCGGAGAGGGAGCCUGAGAAACGGCUACCACAUCCAAGGAAGGCAGCAGGCACGCAAAUUACCCACUCUUAGCACGAGGAGGUAGUGACGAAAAAUACCGGUACAGGACUCUUAGGAGGCCCUGUAAUCGGAAUGAGUACGAUCUAAAUCCUCUAACGAGGAUCUAUUGGAGGGCAAGUCUGGUGCCAGCAGCCGCGGUAAUUCCAGCUCCAAUAGCGUAUAUUAAAGUUGUUGCGGUUAAAAAGCUCGUAGUUGGAUCUCGAUUCAUAGUGUGUGGUCCACCUCACGGUGGUUACUUCACACUUGAAUCACUCGAUGGGUUUCGUUGUGUUCCUCACGGUUCACAUCUUUGAUGAUUCUCUUAAUCGAGUGUCAUCAAAGACCCAGUCUGUUUACUUUGAACAAAUUAGAGUGCUCAAAGCAGGUCGUCUUUUCUAAAGUCGCCUUGAAUAAUCUUGCAUGGAAUAAUAGAAUAGGACUUUGUUUCUAUUCUGUUGGUCUUCGGUAACAAAGUAAUGAUUAAGAGGGACAGACGGGGGCAUUAGUAUUGCGGCGCUAGAGGUGAAAUUCUUGGACCGUCGCAAGACUAACAACAGCGAAAGCAUUUGCCAAGAAUGUUUUCAUUAAUCAAGAACGAAAGUUAGAGGUUCGAAGGCGAUCAGAUACCGCCCUAGUUCUAACCAUAAACGAUGCCAACCAGCGAUCAGGCUGAGUACUUUCAAGGACUCGCCUGGGAACUUUCUUCGGGAAACCAAAGUCUUUGGGUUCCGGGGGAAGUAUGGUUGCAAAACUGAAACUUAAAGGAAUUGACGGAAGGGCACCACCAGGAGUGGAGCCUGCGGCUUAAUUUGACUCAACACGGGGAAACUCACCCGGCCCGGACACUAUGAGGAUUGACAGAUUGAGAGCUCUUUCUUGAUAUAGUGGGUGGUGGUGCAUGGCCGUUCUUAGUUGGUGGAUCGAUUUGUCUGGUUAAUUCCGAUAACGAACGAGACUCUAUCCUAUUAAAUAGUAUUUACUAAAUCUCCUUUAUUGGCGAUUAAAUACUUCUUAGAGGGACAGGCGGCGAUUCAGCCGCACGAGAAAGAGCAAUAACAGGUCUGUGAUGCCCUUAGAUGUUCGGGGCCGCACGCGCGCUACACUGAAGUGUACAGCGUGCAUUAUAUUCCUACCUCGAAAUGAGGCAGGAAACCCUGGUAAUCCUCGUCGUAAUUGGGAUUGGGCAUUGUAACUAUACCCAUGAACGAGGAAUUCCCAGUAAGCGUGAGUCAUCACCUAGCGUUGAUUACGUCCCUGCCCUUUGUACACACCGCCCGUCGCUACUACCGAUUGAAUGAUUUAGUGAGGUCUUCGGAUUGAGUUUAGGAGUGUUCCUUCGGGAUGCUAAUAAAUUUGAGAAGAUGACCAAACUUGAUCAUUU
This 1736-nucleotide ribosomal RNA is filed under the name Torrenticola sp. HPHyd011. Its description in RNAcentral is "SSU rRNA". It matches the Rfam family "Eukaryotic small subunit ribosomal RNA". The record is from RNAcentral. Lineage: Eukaryota; Metazoa; Arthropoda; Arachnida; Trombidiformes; Torrenticolidae.